This 484-nucleotide ribosomal RNA is filed under the name uncultured bacterium. Its description in RNAcentral is "partial 16S ribosomal RNA". It matches the Rfam family "Bacterial small subunit ribosomal RNA", at positions 28 to 523 of the family's 1533-position model. The record is from RNAcentral.
GACGAGCGCUGGCGGCGUGCUUAACACAUGCAAGUCGAACGAUGAAGCUAGAGCUUGCUCUGGUGAAUUAGUGGCGAACGGGUGAGUAACACGUGAGUAACCUGCCCCGAACUCUGGGAUAACUGCUGGAAACGGUAGCUAAUACUGGAUACGACCUACGAAGGCAUCUUCUGUAGGUGGAAAGAAUUUCGGCUCGGGAUGGACUCGCGGCCUAUCAGCUUGUUGGUGAGGUAAUGGCUCACCAAGGCGACGACGGGUAGCCGGCCUGAGAGGGUGACCGGCCACACUGGGACUGAGACACGGCCCAGACUCCUACGGGAGGCAGCAGUGGGGAAUAUUGCACAAUGGGCGCAAGCCUGAUGCAGCAACGCCGCGUGAGGGAUGACGGCCUUCGGGUUGUAAACCUCUUUUAGUAGGGAAGAAGCGAAAGUGACGGUACCUGCAGAAAAAGCACCGGCUAACUACGUGCCAGCCGCCGCGGUAA